Molecule: small RNA, 819 nt
Filed under: Pongo abelii (Sumatran orangutan)
Lineage: Eukaryota; Metazoa; Chordata; Mammalia; Primates; Hominidae
Description: processed transcript
Source: RNAcentral
AUUUUUUCCAUUUUACAGAGAAGGAAACUGACUUGCCCAAGUUCUCCACAGAAGCUUAUUUCAUCCAUCUCUGAGCUGAAUAUGGACACACCCUGUGGAGGCAUGGCUCAGGACUCCCCGCCCCAGAUCCUAGUCCACCCCCAGGACCAGCUGUUCCAGGGCCCUGGCCCUGCCAGGAUGAGCUGCCGAGCCUCGGGCCAGCCACCUCCCACCAUCCGCUGGCUGCUGAAUGGGCAUCCCCUGAGCAUGGUGCCCCCAGACCCACACCACCUCCUGCCUGAUGGGACCCUUCUGCUGCUACAGCCCCCUGCCCGGGGACAUGCCCACAAUGGCCAGGCCCUGUCCACAGACCUGGGUGUCUACACAUGUGAGGCCAGCAACCGGCUUGGCACGGCAGUCAGCAGAGGCGCUCGGCUGUCUGUGGCUGUCCUCCGGGAGGAUUUCCAGAUCCAGCCUCGGGACAUGGUGGCUGUGGUGGGUGAGCAGGUAACUCUGGAAUGUGGGCCACCCUGGGGCCACCCAGAGCCCACAGUCUCGUGGUGGAAAGAUGGGAAACCCCUGGCCUUCCAGCCUGGAAGGCACACAGUGUCCGGGGGGUCCCUGCUGAUGGCAAGAGCAGAGAAGAGUGACGCAGGGACCUACAUGUGUGUGGCCACCAACAGCGCAGGACACAGGGAGAGCCGCGCAGCCCGGGUUUCCAUCCAGGAGCCCCAGGACUACACGGAGCCUGUGGAGCUUCUGGCUGUGCGAAUUCAGCUGGAAAAUGUGACACUGCUGAACCCGGAUCCCGCAAAGGGCCCCAAGCCUGGACCGGCGGUG